GAUGAAGAACGUAGCGAAAUGCGAUAAGUAGUGUGAAUUGCAGAAUUCAGUGAAUCAUCGAAUCUUUGAACGCACAUUGCGCCCCUUGGUAUUCCAUGGGGCAUGCCUGUUCGAGCGUCAUUUGUACCUUCAAGCUCUGCUUGGUGUUGGGUGUUUUGUCUCGCCUCUGCGUGUAGACUCGCCUUAAAACAAUUGGCAGCCGGCGUAUUGAUUUCGGAGCGCAGUACAUCUCGCGCUUUGCACUCAUAACGGCGACGUCCAAAAGUACAUUUUUACACUCUUGACCUCGGAUCAGGUAGGGAUACCCGCUGAACUUAAGCAUAUCAAUAACGGAGGA
RNAcentral lists this unclassified non-coding RNA (337 nucleotides) under soil metagenome. RNAcentral describes it as "partial contains 5.8S ribosomal RNA, internal transcribed spacer 2, and large subunit ribosomal RNA". The stretch from base 1 to 120 matches the Rfam family "5.8S ribosomal RNA", at positions 35 to 154 of the family's 154-position model. The record is from RNAcentral.